GGUGGGGGUCUCUAUGUGCCUUUCCUUUGCAGGUUGACAGUCUGCCACACCGGGGCAGAAAAGCUGACAGUGCAAGAAAAAGUGCCAUGUCUGUCUUGUAGGCCCACUGCCUCAGACACAGCAUUUAGUAAGGGAAGUCCACACCUGGUCAUCGUGGAGGCCUCUAUGGCCACAGCCACGUAGCAUUAGAGGAGAGCCACAUUUCUACACCAGCUCUAAAUGAUGCUGCCAUUGCAUCCACGCUAUUCAGACUGUAUAGAUUCGGCCUGUUUCACCUUGAUACCACUCCCUUCCUGGGACAGGGUCCUUAGACAUGAAUGGCUGGCUUUUUGCUUAUGGGAGUGGAAUGAAUUUGUGCCCUUUUACAAACAUCUCUAGGGAGCUCCUGCCUGAAGCUUGCAGACUCCCAAUGAAUCAGCAGAGCCCUGUUUGCCAGCUCCAUCGCCAGUGUAGAUGUGGCAUUAACGUGGAAAACCUUGUUAUCCUGCAGAGUAAAGUUGAGGCGGGCGCAGCUGUGGUAUCACCAACAUUUUGGCAAUGCAGUUCAGGUUUGCCCCAUUGCAGGCAUGGCAAAGGAGGGCCAGGAGUGGUGAUUUGGAACAUUGGCAUCUGGAAAGGGAAGCUUGGAGGAAGCGGAGGCCUGGGUUUCUUCCUUGUAAGUCUUCAUCUGCCUCUGGCUACAGCCCUUCCUCCAGAGUUAAGAAGGGGCCCCUGCUGCAAACUUGAAGUUGCUACAUCAGGUUCUAGUCCUGCUCAACCACACCUGUCUUAAGUCCACUUAUCACCGGCCUAGCUAGCUGUAGCGCCGUCUGUGGACCUGGAAACCGAGCUGCUGCCUACCUCGGGAGACAGCUGCUGGGCUGCCGCCUGCCUAGAGCUACAGCAAGUCUGCGUCUGGGGUGGGAGUUGGUAUAAUUUCCGAGUAUGGGAGCUUCCCACCUCAAGUGGUAGGGAGUUGUGGUUAACUGUAACUUCUUCAGUGCUUACUCUCAACUCCAGAGAUUAAGUGUUUUAACAUGGGAAAGAGAGGAGAAAUCUCAGGUCAAUCAGGGUUCUGCCUGUCGGCUUUUCACUGAAACUUUGAACCAUGGUUUUUUUCCAUCUGUCAGUUUUUAUAUUUGCCUCCUCAUCCAUUCCCACCUUCCCCUUCCUCCUUGUGUCUUUUGGUUUCCAUUUCCACUUCAUUUCUCUCUUA
Molecule: long non-coding RNA, 1195 nt
Filed under: Sus scrofa (pig)
Lineage: Eukaryota; Metazoa; Chordata; Mammalia; Artiodactyla; Suidae
Description: lncRNA (ENSSSCG00070022387.1)
Source: RNAcentral